AUGCUUAAUUAUUUCCGGAUAGGACAGAGGUGCAAUGUUUACAUCCAUGACAGAAGGUUCUUUAGCACUGAACUCAUCAAAGAUCCUUGGACUCAAGAGGUCACUACCUGGACGUAUAGGCAAGCAAUGUCGGGAGAGACAAAUGGGGGAUGUUUGUCUAUUGAUGCAUUGCAGGUCAGCUACCAGAACUUCUUGCUGCUUAUCCUGGAUGUUUCCGAACAUGCUCCCAAACAUGUUCAAUUUAUCCGCCCUAGGACAGCCACUGCCAUGACACAGCGGGUUACUCGGCAUGCUCGGCGUGUUUACUUUGGUGGACUUACUCCGAUCGCUAAUGAACAGACAGUUGCUCUAUUAUUCAAUCAAGUUACGGCUGCUAUCGGGGGAAAUGCAUUUGGUCUAGGUGGCAUAAUCAUCUGA
Molecule: ribosomal RNA, 417 nt
Filed under: Triticum aestivum (bread wheat)
Lineage: Eukaryota; Viridiplantae; Streptophyta; Magnoliopsida; Poales; Poaceae
Description: partial small subunit ribosomal RNA
Source: RNAcentral